GUGUCAGCAGCCGCGGUAAUACCGGCAGCCCGAGUGAUGGCCGAUCUUAUUGGGCCUAAAGCGUCCGUAGCUGGCCACGCAAGUCUAUCGGGAAAUCCGCGCGCUUAACGCGCGGGCGUCCGGUGGAAACUGCGUGGCUUGGGACCGGAAGACCAGAGGGGUACGUCCGGGGUAGGAGUGAAAUCCCGUAAUCCUGGACGGACCGCCGAUGGCGAAAGCACGUCGCGAGGACGGAUCCGACAGUGAGGGACGAAAGCCAGGGUCUCGAACCGGAUUAGAAACCCUAGUAGUCC
This 293-nucleotide ribosomal RNA is filed under the name uncultured prokaryote. RNAcentral describes it as "partial 16S ribosomal RNA". It matches the Rfam family "Archaeal small subunit ribosomal RNA", at positions 455 to 747 of the family's 1478-position model. The record is from RNAcentral.